UUGGACUUGGACUUAUAUUCUAGAAAUGCCAUGCAGCUUAGCUCUGCUUGGGCUUGUGACGUCUAUCAUUGUGAGAGUGGGGGGUUUUUUUUCCCAGCAAGCCCUUAGAGAACGGUAAUCGUCUUGCCAGGAUUGGUGAGACGUUAGAGCGCAAUAGUGUAGAUUAGUCAGCUGUAAGCCUAGAUUGUUUCUGAUUUGUCAGAGAACCUAAGUACAGCUUGGUAAUUGUGAAGCUUUUGGGAUGUCCUUUCAGUUUUGGUUCUAUAGCUUUGGAUGUUGCUCAUACACAAUGACGAGUUUUUAAAGAUUUUUUAGACUAGCAAACCUCAGCUGGAGGUGUGUUUCACUCAGAAAUCAGUUUCAGUUCUGGGGUUCGGCAGAAAUCUGUGGUACGCUGUGCAUUUUUUAUGGUUGCAAUUUCCAGGACACACUUUUCCCCAGGUGUUUUCAGAUGAGUCCUUUGUUUGAGAAAACUCUAUCAAGCAUGACGGUGGUCUUAUGUAGAAACUGAAGAACUUUUGGGGUUAUCUCCCCUUUCCAAAAAGUUUCUCUGUAUUGAACAGCCCCCCCCAAAUCUAUCUUUAUCUCCUAAAGACGGUAAGUUCUGUAAAAGGAAGGAAGAGCAGUGGCUCCAGCCUGAUAUAUAUUUCCUGUUCCUCUGUGUUCUGAGAUGGACUGUUUUCUCACUUCUAUAUGCAAAAUCAUUCUUCUUCUUUUGUAUGCUUCAGAGGAUAUUUGCUUUCAGCUUUUGUUGAGGUUUUUCUUCCGCUCGCUCUCUAUUCCGCUAAACAUAGAUGUCCAGUUGGUCUUUGUGUGCCUCUGUCUGAUUGUGUUGCAUUUUUUUUUUCCCUUGAGUAGGAUGCAAGACGAUGAUGACCAAAAGCAGGAGCUUAGACACGUGAAAACAAAACUAAAAGCCAAUAUUUUUAUACAAGUAGUUCCAAAUGUUUUCUCAUUACACUGUGCUUCAUACUAAAGUCUAGACAGAUUUUACUGUUAAAAUAAUGAUUAGAGGUGGUUGCAAAAGCAUUGGUCAUGAAGACAGUUUCACUGGGUUUUUUUAAUUCUAAAUUUUUUUGGCCUAGAUUAUCAAAGUUGCCACAUUUACUUUGAUUGUGGUACAUUUUUUUCAGUUUUCUUAAUUAAGCUUCAGGCUUAGCUUAACCAGAAACCAGAAAGUACACUCAGCACUACUUCAAAAUGCUCCCACUAACAACAUAACCUCUGAAUAUAAUCGAACCAAAACAAUAAUUAAUCCUUAGAAAUUGAUUAAAUAAAUAAUUGUAAUGUAAUUGGGAAGGCAAUGGAAUAAACCAUUCCAACAGCGUUGCCUUCGACGGCUGCUCAAGAUCACAUAUCGGGAUUGCGUUACCAACGAGGAAGUAUAUCGCCGUGCGGGAGUAAAGCCGCUCCACGUCCAAGUCACCAAGCAUCGGUUCAGAUUCGCCAGUCACAUCCUUCAGCUACCGGACCCGAGACCCGCCCGCGUCGCGGUCCUGUGGAACCCGAGAAAUGGAAAGAGACAGCGAGGAAGACCCAAAAUAACGUGGAGGAGUACGUUCCUCGAAGAUUUACGCUCGGUCGAACUGUGGACCGAGUUCGAUGGCGUUCUCUUGUCGCCCAAUGUGCUGAUCGGCGCGGGAGGAUCUAAGUCUAAGUCACAGCUGAGCAUGUGUGUGGCUCACUCCGUCAGCUCCAAGCAGCUGGCCCAGAUUGACCCCAGCGGUUUGUGACUAUGAAGAGGCACAAGCAGACAUCUAAUGGGAUGGCAGUAGCAAUGACGGCUGGUGUUUCUUUGCGAUGUAUGGAGGCUGUCUGAUGCUUUUCCAUGUCAUAUUUUUUUAUGCUUGGCCACUGACAAGGGAGGUGAAGGAAUUGACCUGCUGCUGACAGAUGAGUUUUCGGGGAUCCCAAGAAGACACAAACCCAGCAGAAGAUCACAAAUGUAAGCAGAGCGCUGACAUGGACCCCACGCUGUGUGUGGGCAGAGUGCUGCUCGUCAGUGUCUCAGCUGUGGGGGAAACUUGUGAGGGAAAAGGAAAGCCCUCAUUGCACAAAUUUCAUGUGUCUGUGUGCAUGAGCGAGCACUGACGGUUGACAGACAGAGUUGAGGUUGAGAAGACGGUGGUCUUUAUCACACCCACACAUCCUCUAUUUCAAACCUGAUGCUGCUUUACUUGAUUUUGCCAACUUCCACUCACUCUUAAUCUGCCUCACUACAUUUCACACACUUUGUUCUGAACCACACUUAGAAAGUUUCAGAGAGGCAUUACAUCUCCAUCCAUCAAACAUGAUCCUUCAAGUGAUAGACGCCAUUUAUCAUGUGGUUUAAGAUGAAGUAUGUUAAAAUUACAGGGUUACCUCUUUUUUUUUGCUGCUGCUGCUGCUGCUUGUUUGUUUUUCAUAUAUGCUGAUUACCAGUUGCCAUCCAGCAACAUUUGCAGAUGCAGCAAUAAGGAAAUGAACCACUCCCACUAGCACUGCCAAUACUGAAGCCAGUUUUCUUGCCAACAUAUUUCUGUUAAUUAAAAGUGCAGUUUCACUAUUUUGUGAGGACCUUAAUCUUACUGGAAGUCCCAGCUUUGUAUGACUGGUCAUGGGUUCAACUCACAGCAAAAGAGGAUGCAAGACCAUUUAGCAUAAAGGUGAUAUAGUGCUGAACUUUAGCUAGCAGAGGAUAUAGGGACUUAGCAUAAAGCUGCGAAGGCGCUGUUGUUCUCAGCAAGCGGCUGUCCUGGUCGAUAAUUAGGUCAGCACAGCCCUCCUGGGAGGGGAGGGCAGAGGGGACACUGUAGAAACCCCUUAGCCCCAUCACAGCCAGAUGAAAAGAAAACAGUCCCAGUACAGGUUCCACAUGUCAGGGCGAAGGGUAAAAAUGUGUUUUAGAUUUUCCUCCUUCCCUCUCCUCUCUGCUCUUGUUUGAUUCUGAGCUGCAAGGGGAUAACCUCCUAAGAGCUCCUAUAACACCUUGCUAUCUUGGCCUUUAGGUUUUUUUUCCUACAAUAUAUGAGUUUGUGUGCAUACUGCGAUGUGGUCUAGUAUAUCUAUUUCUUCCUUCCUCUGGGUUUUAGCUAAUCCAUUUCUCUAGGCUUCCUUCCCAGAACAGUGAGACAUUUUUAAAGAAAACAGAGCUGAGCAGCACCUUGGAAAUCCCACCAUCUUUCUCAUUAAAGAUGAGGAUGAAGACGAAGUUGAUUUUCCUGAUUCAAUUUAAGCCCAUGAAACUGGACCUUAGCCACGGCACUUCGAGAAAGGGAUGAAAGAGAGACAGCUGGAGAGAGAGGGGGGUGCUUAAGUGAGCCAUGAUGGUUCUGUUAGAUUACUUUUCUUCAGUACUGAUUUCAGGAUAUACAGGAUACUGUGUGGGGAGCAUUUUUUAACAUCUGUGCAUGUGGUAGGCCAGUGGGUCAGUCAUGGCUUUAGUGUGGCGCAGUCAAUAAAAACACUGAAAAAGUCUUUUUGUCCUUUUAAUAUAAUGUGUGGUACAUACUGAAAUUUUGGCAAUCUGAUUAGUAAAUCUGUAAAACACAGAAAAGAAAGCUAGGCGAUAAUCGCAGUUAUAUGCUUUAUGCAAACGGCGACUCUAAUGCAGCCAAAUUGUCCUGCAUUUGAAUGCAGGACAAUUUAGCUGCAUUCAAAUGUCACUUUGCCUUUAAGUUGACAAGUCAAGAGGUAAUGUGAAGAGGAUGACCUUAAAUUUAGAGAUAAAGACAGACACAUUCGCGUGUGUGGCUGUACCCUGCACGUGCACAUGCAAGCACGUGCAUGUGGUUGAGAACGACAUAAUGACCCACCAGCAAAACUGCACGCCACGCAAAUGACAGACCUACACAGAUAAAGACUGUUCUUAUGUUCAUGUAAUUCAAACAAUAAUCUACUGUGGGCUCACUGAUAUCCUGCCAAGCUGGGUAUCUUCUCUGUAAUCACAGUUGUCACGUUUGGACAGAAGAAGAGAGCAAAGAUUCCUGUUCUCUACCAGACUCCUGCUUUAUUUAAAUCUUGUAUUAAUACCCUUGUAACAAGAAUACUUAGUCUGUAGAUCUGUGAUGCUUGGGUUAAAUAUAUAGAAUUGUCUUGUAUCUAAAAAUCUUAAUAUACAUAUAAUGUGGGAUUCAGCUGGCCUCAACUUAAUCCUGGCUACAUUCAGAAGGCUAGAAGAAUCAUUUCUGGAAAGUGCAGAGUUUUACAGAUUUCAGGUGGAUAGUUAAAAUCCUCCUCUAACAUGUGUGAGUGUCCACUCUGCAGUAUAUUUGUCUCUGUCAGCAGGCCUUCAGCAACAGCGAGGAUCAAACCCAUAAAGUAACAAUCCAGGAAACCAAGCUUGCUCAAACUGACCAAAGUCUACAGUGUCUACUGGCAGAGGAAAUCAGUAAAAAUGUUUUUCUAGGGAGAUAUUUUUGUCCCGCUUUGGAAAAACGACAGUUGAAAAAGGGAGAAAACGAAUCAUGGGCAAUAGAGAAUUAUGCAAAGGUGGAGUUUAAAAAAAGACUGUUUCUCCUCAAAACAUUAGUAGUACAGAUGAGUGUUCAAAAUACCCAGUUAUGCCUCCUGUUUUUUUUCUGAACCAGGCGCUACUAUCUGGUUCUUAUGAAUCACAUGUGGCAUCUGCUUACUGAAAUAGGCUCUUACUUACAGAACUAAAAAGGGAUAUGGUUACUGCAUUAUCAAUAAGAUUAACAGCCAACACUAAUAUGAGUUAAAAUAAAAUUAAAUUGAACAGAAAAUGACAAUUAAAUCUUGCUUAACCUAAUCUUUGUUGUUACAUUAUCUUAAACUUGAGAGCCAAUUAAAGCAAUGGCUGACUGUAGUUCCCCUCAGAAUACGGUUUUCAAACUAGACCGAAAGUGUGUUUUCACAACGCGAAUCUGAGACUUUUUGGUCUCAUCUCAUACCACCAGCUGUGUUUUUGUUGUCUUUCCCUAAGUUUCUGUCUUUCUCUUCAUAUCAGAAUAAGUGUUGACAGGGUCUUUCAAACAUUUUGAAGACUGCUUUUUCUUUAGACUCUUUCACUAUUGUUCACUCUGAGUUGAACUGUCAAAGUCUUUAUGUCUACACAAUGCAUGUGUAGACUAUAUUUAAGCCUUCACAUGCUAUAAAGAGUCCAGCAACACUUCAUUCUAUGGUCCAGAUUGUAAUGUGUGUGUGUUGUAUGAAAUAAUCAAUUGUGUGACUAAUUGAGUAUAUUAAGCAGAUGUCCACCCUCGAUUUAAACCUAUGGUCGACAACUGCAUAUCUCCUGGAAAAAUCAUCCUCUUCACUCACCCCCACACCCUUAACUUUAAGCUCCACACACAUCCCCUACAGUCUCUCUGGGGAGCUACUGCAGGCAGCCUGGCUCCAGUGUUCCUCACUAUGACCCAGGGGGUCUGCACAUAGCCAAACUGUGAUUCUCUCCUGGGGGCACAGGUACACUAAUCGUCCUGGAAUCAUUGGAAGAAGAAGGUCAUGUGUGGUCAUAAACACGGUACAAACACGGUUAAUGAGUCACAGUAAAUCCUGUAUCUUGGCUGACAUUCUGCAUUGUUUGGUGGAAAUUUAUUCAGGGAAGUUAUUGUGGAAAAUGUCUCUCUCCCAACGUUUUCACUCAUUAUCCACACGCACUCUCUCUGCCUCUCUUAAAUCUUUUCCUAAAUGUGACCUUCAGUAAAAAAAAGAACCUUGUCUGAACUCAGAAGGAAAUUGAAGUUAUGUAAAAAAAAAGAAAAGAAAA
Oreochromis niloticus (Nile tilapia) is the source of this 5710-nucleotide long non-coding RNA. RefSeq lists it as uncharacterized. Lineage: Eukaryota; Metazoa; Chordata; Actinopteri; Cichliformes; Cichlidae. The transcript is spliced from 6 exons. The record is from RefSeq and is a predicted model, not a curated record.